This 439-nucleotide ribosomal RNA is filed under the name uncultured bacterium. RNAcentral's name for it is "bacterial SSU rRNA". It matches the Rfam family "Bacterial small subunit ribosomal RNA", at positions 340 to 774 of the family's 1533-position model. The record is from RNAcentral.
UACGGAAGGCAGCAGUGGGGAAUAUUGCACAAUGGGCGCAAGCCUGAUGCAGCCAUGCCGCGUGUAUGAAGAAGGCCUUCGGGUUGUAAAGUACUUUCAGUCGUGAGGAAGGUGUUAAGGUUAAUAACCUUAGCAAUUGACGUUAGCGACAGAAGAAGCACCGGCUAACUCCGUGCCAGCAGCCGCGGUAAUACGGAGGGUGCGAGCGUUAAUCGGAAUUACUGGGCGUAAAGGGCACGCAGGCGGUUAAUAAGUUGGAUGUGAAAUCCCCGGGCUUAACCUGGGAAUGGCAUUCAAGACUGGUUAGCUAGAGUCUUGUAGAGGGGGUAGAAUUCCAUGUGUAGCGGUGAAAUGCGUAGAGAUGUGGAGGAAUACCGGUGGCGAAGGCGGCCCCUGGACAAAGACUGACGCUCAUGUGCGAAAGCGUGGGGAGCAAACG